AUAUUACUAAGCGGAGGAAAAGAAAUUAACAAAGAUUGCCUUAGUAAGGGCGACUGAACCGGCAAAAGCUCGAAAUUGGAAUCGGCUGUUCAAUGAACUACCGAAUUGUAAUCAGGCUACCCUAAAUACAGUCGUUGGCUCAAGAGUCUCGAAAGGCUCGCCACAGAGGGUGAAAGUCCCGUACAGCCUUCGGCCGAGUAAGGGAAGCUCUACGAGAGUCGGGUUGCUUGGAACUGCAGCCCUAAGUGGGAGAUAUGAUUCUUCCAAAGCUAAAUAAGGAUGGGAGACCGAUAGCGCACAAGUA
RNAcentral lists this ribosomal RNA (304 nucleotides) under uncultured eukaryote. Its description in RNAcentral is "partial large subunit ribosomal RNA". It matches the Rfam family "Eukaryotic large subunit ribosomal RNA", at positions 40 to 350 of the family's 3401-position model. The record is from RNAcentral.